Molecule: long non-coding RNA, 234 nt
Organism: Tachysurus vachellii
Lineage: Eukaryota; Metazoa; Chordata; Actinopteri; Siluriformes; Bagridae
Exons: 3
Source: RefSeq, a predicted model, not a curated record
GUAUUUUAAAUAAUAAGUUAAAGCUUUAUUUGGUAUAUGAGUAAUUUUCUUUCUCCAAACCCACAGCUGUCUUCACAGGGUCAGCCAGGGGCACAGUCACAUGUCCCAAAAAGAAAAAGUCAGGUGGACUAAGACAUAUGCCUGAGAGGAAAAAGCCACAAAAGAAUUGCUCCUAUCACACUCGCUUAGAGACUUUCCCCAUCAGGAGUGUUGUAAGAGAACGAGUGAGAAAGG